This 274-nucleotide ribosomal RNA is filed under the name uncultured bacterium. Its description in RNAcentral is "partial 16S ribosomal RNA". It matches the Rfam family "Bacterial small subunit ribosomal RNA", at positions 523 to 796 of the family's 1533-position model. The record is from RNAcentral.
AUACAGAGGGUGCAAACGUUGCUCGGAAUUAUUGGGCGUAAAGCGCAUGUAGGCGGCCUCGUAAGUCGAUAGUGAAAGCCCAUGGCUCAACCAUGGAAGUGCUACCGAAACUGCGAGGCUAGAGUCCCGGAGAGGGUGGCGGAAUUCCCAGUGUAGAGGUGAAAUUCGUAGAUAUUGGGAAGAACACCAGUGGCGAAGGCGGCCACCUGGCCCGGUACUGACGCUGAGGUGCGAAAGCGCGGGGAGCAAACAGGAUUAGAAACCCCGGUAGUCC